CUUCACCGAACCGAGCCACAACGGCCGACCUUCCGACCGCUCCUGUCCGUAGGUGGCGAGAAUCGCCUGCGCCUC
RNAcentral lists this antisense RNA (75 nucleotides) under Actinophytocola oryzae. RNAcentral describes it as "ASpks TB sRNA". It matches the Rfam family "ASpks TB sRNA". The record is from Rfam by way of RNAcentral. Lineage: Bacteria; Bacillati; Actinomycetota; Actinomycetes; Pseudonocardiales; Pseudonocardiaceae.